Molecule: unclassified non-coding RNA, 364 nt
Filed under: fungal sp.
Lineage: Eukaryota; Fungi
Description: partial internal transcribed spacer region
Rfam family: Eukaryotic small subunit ribosomal RNA (bases 1-65)
Source: RNAcentral
CUUGGUCAUGAGGAAGUAAAAGUCGUAACAAGGUUUCCGUAGGUGAACCUGCGGAAGGAUCAUUAACAAUUAGAGUUAGUAGGGUAUAGAUUCUUUCUAUCUCAAAUCUUUCUAGAUUAGAGUGGAAGGGUCGCCUAUCCUACAGCGAACUGCGAUACCGAGUCUUCAUACACAGUAUGAGACCGCUAAUUACAAACAAGUAACCUGGGGUACUUUGAAGUGGAGGUAACACUCUGCUUUGGAGCCCUGCUAAUAAUCCCUUUAUUAUACCAUUCUACCCUUUAAACUAUAAGACUGAUAUGACAUGAUUUAAUGUCAAAAUUAAAUCUAUAAACAACUCUUAACAAUGGAUAUCUAGGUUCUG